Molecule: ribosomal RNA, 178 nt
Filed under: uncultured Geobacter sp.
Lineage: Bacteria; Pseudomonadati; Thermodesulfobacteriota; Desulfuromonadia; Geobacterales; Geobacteraceae
Description: partial 16S ribosomal RNA
Rfam family: Bacterial small subunit ribosomal RNA
Source: RNAcentral
UGGGGAAUUUUGCGCAAUGGGGGAAACCCUGACGCAGCAACGCCGCGUGGGUGAUGAAGGCCUUUGGGUCGUAAAGCCCUGUCAGUGGGGAAGAAAUGUGAGGGGCUAAUAUCCUUUUCACUUGACGGUACCCACAAAGGAAGCACCGGCUAACUCCGUGCCAGCAGCCGCGGUAAUA